CUCUAAAAUACCAGAUGCUCAAGCGGCGUAUGAAUCUGCAAAUACACUUCAGACAGCAGCUUUAGCCGGUGUGAAUUUCAU
RNAcentral lists this non-coding RNA (81 nucleotides) under marine eukaryotic metagenome. Its description in RNAcentral is "Pyrrolysine insertion sequence mttB". It matches the Rfam family "Pyrrolysine insertion sequence mttB", at positions 9 to 89 of the family's 100-position model. The record is from RNAcentral.